Long non-coding RNA from Phyllostomus hastatus (greater spear-nosed bat), 1885 nucleotides. RefSeq lists it as uncharacterized. Lineage: Eukaryota; Metazoa; Chordata; Mammalia; Chiroptera; Phyllostomidae. The record is from RefSeq and is a predicted model, not a curated record. The transcript has 3 exons.
CUGUGGACGCCCUGUCCACAGGCGGGUGGGGACAGACACCCCACCCCCCACGACCUGCACAUCUGGAUCCUGCCCCCGUCUCCCUGCCACUCCCUUGGCCCAGUGCCUGCUGCUGGGGCCCCCACGGUCCCUUCUAUGGGCUACCUCUGGGGCUACUGGAACAGCUGUGUGAGGCCCCGACUCAGGACACAGGGCUCCCUGCCGUGUGCGUGCCUUACACCCGGAGGGACCCCGGGCAGCUGGGGACACGGGACCUCGGAGCUGGACACCCUCCGAGCUCAAGUCCAAGGAGAGAGUGCAGGCCACCAGCCCAGGGAGGAAGCCCCCUCAGCGUGAGGACACCUAACGUGGUGAGCGUGCCAUGCAGCCGUUGUCCGCAGGUCCGGGCAGUGCAGCAGAGGUGGGCAGCACCGAAACGACCUCCGGGGCAGCCGCCCGGCCACGCUCCUCUCCCGGGAGUCGGGCCAGUCUGGACUCCGCCGCACAGCGGCGUCUGCACAUCCGCGCAGCAGGUGGGACCAGGCUCACUGAGCUCCCCUUAACGUCCCCCAGGACCCCCCACCCUGCUGCGCACCUACGCGGGGUUCCCUUCCUCUCAAAGCGGCUGACAGCCCACUGCGUGCGAAUGCCACACGGUCCUCACCCGUUCACCCGCCGGUGGACAUCUGGGCCCUGUGUCUGUCCUGGCUGUCGCGGGCAGGGCCGCAGCGCGCAGGCCGGGGCUCCUGCCGCUCCCCGGUCCCGGCGUUCGGGCCGCUGCCCACGGCUGGGACGACCGAGCACAAGGCAACAAGUACCCGCGGGCUUCACGGGGGUGCUCACAGGGGCGCCCACGAAACGCCCCCCUCGCCACCCUGAGCGACGCGGCUGCGAAUGACUUCCGUGUCUACGGUUCGCUCUUACUGAUGAUCUGCAAUGUUGGCGUUCUUCUUUCCUAAGGGUGGGUCUGAGGUAGAAUUGUUUCAGCAUUAAACAUUUGUGGAAAGAGGCUACAUUGUACAAGAAGAAAAAACAUUUCCAGUCGUGCUACUAGCGCUUCCUUAGCUGUUUGCCACGCUUCUGAAUGUCCUGUGAGUUUUACAGUCUGCUGGUUUAGAACCCGCCGUGAACUUAUUUUCGUCAAUGACAACUGGUGCCUGUGGACAUGUCUGUCCCUACACAGAAAACAAACAGUGACGGAGUAUAAUGAAAGACACACUGGGAAGUUUAUCUAAUGGAAACACCCACACCAGUCUGUGUCCUCGGGCUGUAAGAACACGCUCUGUCCUCUGGUUUGACGAGAAGACAAAGGUGAAGAACCUGAAAGGGUUGGUCCCAUGUCACGCUCCUCAGUGUGCGGGGCCCCUUCGGGGAGAGCUGGGCAGGUUUUGCCUGCUGGGGAAUCCGUGCGGGCACCUGCAGCGCCGCCAUGUCCACGAGGCAGGAGACGGCCUCCGUGCGAGGUCACAGCACCCGCCGUGGGCGCUCCCGCGCGUCCUGCCUCCUGCCUGUCACAGCGAACAUCAGACCCGGCCUGCUGCAGAGACGCUCCCCACACUUCCUGCAGCCUUUGAGAACAGCCUCUUCCGACCAGGCGGGUACUUAGCACCAGGACGGGGGGUGACACGAAGGCCUGCUGGGAUGGGGCCCCCCCGCACCACACACAUUGGGUUAGAAACGAAGAGGGAGCCAUCCCCAGGGGCAGUGCCCACCGGGCGAAGGUGGCGUCUGGGUGAGCGGUAUUUAUUUUCCUUCCUGUAUUGUCUGCAUUCUUCUGUAAGGAGCCGGGGUUGUUCUUAUAACCAUUAAAAAAAGCCAUCUGAGCCCUGGCUGGUGUGACUCAGUGGAUUGAGCACGGGCCUGCAAACCAAAGGGCCGCCAGUUCGAUUCCCAGUCAGGGCACACU